UUGACCUUCACGUCGGAGCAGGACAGCGAUGCCGACAAGCUGGUCGACGGCUCCUGCGUCAGUGCCAGCGGCUACUCCAGGAGCCACUGCUUGCUCAAAUGUACAGCACAUAAGUGUGGGUGUUCGGACCCACUUCGAAGUAUUGGCAGCGAGGAGAACUCACUUCCAACCUGCGACCUAAAGCGCAUUUCAUGCCUGAGAACUCUUGGACUUAGAGGUAAUUCAACCUGCUCCUGUCUGCCAUCAUGUAAGAAGGUAAUAACUCGAUUGGACUUGGAGUCUUCUCCAUUAAGAGAAUUGGAAUCUUGUGUAGAUCC
This is a long non-coding RNA of Ostrinia nubilalis (European corn borer), 317 nucleotides long. RefSeq lists it as uncharacterized. The record is from RefSeq and is a predicted model, not a curated record. Lineage: Eukaryota; Metazoa; Arthropoda; Insecta; Lepidoptera; Crambidae. The transcript is spliced from 3 exons.